CUAGCUGACGAAGGAUAGUCCGACAUAAUUUCAGAAAUGUUGAGCAAUGUCGAACUGCGCAGCCAAUCGCAUCGAAGCGCUAUGACAUUUGGACCAAUCGCGUCGAAGCGCCUUAACAUUUCCAGCCAAUCAAAAAGCGCAAUUUAUAACAUUAUCUUGACAUUCGUGACAUUUGACCAAUCAGAGAGCAGGGGGAUUUCGACGGCACGUUUCCGCGUCUCACCGCUAGGUGGAGGGGUCAGCGCUUCUAGUCAGGUGUCAAUCAAGUUGCCGAACCGUGCCGAAGGUGUACGAAAGAAUGACAUCAUCCUCAGGGGGCGUGUCAGAGGUAAAAAAGGUUAAUUACUCAAGUUUGUGACCUAUGACAAGGGUCAUUGUGGCGUAGUUCGACAUAAAAAGUGGUACGAGAUUUGUCAAUGGGUGAGUGUUUGUUACCUUUGCAUUAUAGAUGUAUAAAAAUAAAAAAUAAUCGUAAUCGAACAUUAUUAGUAUCUUGGUUUAGUGUAUUUGCAUAAGAGAACAACACAUCAGGGUUCAGAACAAACAUUUACCUGGUCCCAUUCAUUUGAACGAUGUAAUGUGAUGGUUGUGUUAUGUUAUGGCUUUCAACAGUGCAAACCAGAGUGUGUAAUAAUUGUUUAUAGACAUUUAUGUAAUGUUGCAGGUAUUUUAAGAAAUGUUCCUGUCUUGUAUCUUUCUCCUCUAAAUAGAGAUACCAGUUGUAACAUUAUAUAUAAGAUAAAUGUGACUUGUGUCCUAGAAAUGAAUGAAUGAAUGAAUAAAUAUAUGAAUUUAAUGAAGUAUUUUAUGCUCUCUUAAGGGACUCACUUGUAUUGUGCAUUAUAUUUGUUAUAAUGCUUACAGAUAGAGAAAUGUCAGAUGCUGUCUCGUGGCCAAACAACCUUGCUUGGAGCCUCUACUGGACCAGCACAAAGGGUGGUGGAAGAACCUCAUGCUGCUGAAACAGCAAAGAAGGCCAUGGAGCAGAGUCAGCCUGACUCCCAGCCUCAUCCCAUGCCCCUGCCCCGGCCCCAGCCUACUGCACCUGUGGAAGCAAGAGUUGCAACACAAUUUUCAAUGGUAAGAAUUACUAUUUAACUUUUUUAAUAAUACCACUUAAGAAUGUGCUCAAUUAAAAUUCAAGAAAGUUCAGAACGUAAGAUGAAGAAAAAAAGAAAAAGCAAGAAUGCUAUGAGAUGCUGGCUGAGACCUACUAAUUGUCACCCCUCUUGUACAGUGGGGGCACCUGUUGUCUGCUGAAUGGUCAGUUUGAAUAUCUCAGAUUUGGUUUAAGUCACAUGGUCAAGGAUAAAUGUAGAAUGUAACCUGUCUGCUUUCUCUCUUGAGACUAGACUCAUGUCCCUCAUGGCAUCUCUCUCAAUACUUCUCAUGUGUUAAAGCUACAUUAUCUUUCUUUCUCAAUCUCAGGUAACAUACCACAUAGACGCUGGCUAUUAUUAACUGUACACAUAUUAACAAUUAUUCCAUCAUGCAAAUACUUUGUAGUAAUUUCAGGAGUCAAUACUGCUAAUAAAUAUGGAUGACACUUCUAUUCAGAAAGAAAUGUUUUUAAAAACCUGCAUUUACUUAAAAUAGUAAUAUUAAUUAAUUCUUCGUAAUUCUUGCUAUUAUAACACAUUCUGUCUUCUCACAUUUUUGAUUUACCAAACCAAGAUUUACUGGCUCUCACAUUGCUGCAGCAAAGCCAAAUCUUAGUGUGGUCAGGAGACCUUCUCAGGUUGAAGACCAACCCAGCGCAGCAGUGUCUUGUGCCUCUAUACCAAGCAGUACUGUCUCUGGUGUGCCAGUGUUCCAGGGUCUACAAAUGGUUCAAAGACUGUCAGCGGUCCAUAGGAUGCCACUGUUACAGCCUAUUUUGCAGAGCACCAAUUCACAACCAGCUCCACAAACCAUGCCCAAGAGACCCUACAAGGCAAACACUUGCAGGAAGUGUGGAAAAUUCAAAAUCAGUGCAACGGGACAUAGCCAGUACAGGGGCAAGGUGUAUAUACUGUCCACAGACUGAGAACAUUACAAAAGAAAAGUGGUUAGAGUAAAUCCGGAGAACCUUCUCCCAAAUAAUGUAUACACUGUAUAUUUUUAUUUAUUGUUGUGUGUAUAUAGUUGUUUAAAUAUAGUUCACUAUUGUUAAUAUUUGUGUCUAACAUUAUUUUAUUUAACUUGCUUUUUUAAUCCUAUUUAACUUUUACUUUUACCUUUUUAAUUUAUUGUUUGAAAACUUCAUUUAAUAUUCAUUACUUUUCU
Long non-coding RNA from Carassius gibelio (silver crucian carp), 2265 nucleotides. RefSeq lists it as uncharacterized. Lineage: Eukaryota; Metazoa; Chordata; Actinopteri; Cypriniformes; Cyprinidae. The transcript is spliced from 3 exons. The record is from RefSeq and is a predicted model, not a curated record.